RNAcentral lists this ribosomal RNA (421 nucleotides) under uncultured bacterium. Its description in RNAcentral is "bacterial SSU rRNA". It matches the Rfam family "Bacterial small subunit ribosomal RNA", at positions 56 to 524 of the family's 1533-position model. The record is from RNAcentral.
UGCAGUCGAACGGGCACUUCGGUGCUAGUGGCAGACGGGUGAGUAACACGUGGGAACGUACCUUUCGGUUCGGAAUAAUCCAGGGAAACUUGGACUAAUACCGGAUACGCCCUUCGGGGGAAAGAUUUAUCGCCGAUAGAUCGGCCCGCGUCUGAUUAGCUAGUUGGUGAGGUAAUGGCUCACCAAGGCGACGAUCAGUAGCUGGUCUGAGAGGAUGAUCAGCCACAUUGGGACUGAGACACGGCCCAAACUCCUACGGGAGGCAGCAGUGGGGAAUAUUGGACAAUGGGCGCAAGCCUGAUCCAGCCAUGCCGCGUGAGUGAUGAAGGCCUUAGGGUUGUAAAGCUCUUUUGUCCGGGAAGAUAAUGACUGUACCGGAAGAAUAAGCCCCGGCUAACUUCGUGCCAGCAGCGGCGGUAAU